This 605-nucleotide ribosomal RNA is filed under the name Polycope sp. OC-2001. RNAcentral describes it as "partial 28S ribosomal RNA". It matches the Rfam family "Eukaryotic large subunit ribosomal RNA", at positions 1321 to 1853 of the family's 3401-position model. The record is from RNAcentral. Lineage: Eukaryota; Metazoa; Arthropoda; Ostracoda; Halocyprida; Polycopidae.
GAUGCCGCUCAAGCAUUGUGCCGAUACCCGGCCGUCGGGACAGAGCUGGCCUUCCCCAGGGCACACAGGUCCCGACGAGUAGGUGGUGCGCGGCGGUCGCUGCGAAGGGUCUGGGCGUGAGCCUGCCUAGAGCGGCCGUCGGUGCAGAUCUUGGUGGUAGUAGCAAUUACUCGAGUGGGAACCUCGAGGUCUGAUGUGGAGAAGGGUUCCAUGUGAACAGCAAUUGAACAUGGGUUAGUCGGUCCUAAGGCGCAGGAGAAAUCCGGGGAAAGGCCGGGGCAAUCUAACGAUUCAGACUGCCUCCACCCAGCCGAAAGGGAAUGCGGUUAAAAUUCUGCAACCCGGACACGGAUAACCCCUUUACGGGGUAUUGGGGCCCAUGCGACCUAUGCCGUAAGGCAAACAAACUCGGGGACGCCGACCGCUGCCCCGGGCAGAGUUGUCUGUUCUGCUUAAGGGCCCGGAUCCCUGGAAUUGGCUCGGCCAGAGAAAGGGAACUGGUGCCUGAAGAGCCCCGCAGCUCUCGCGGGGUCCGAUGGGUAGCGUUUGGCCCUUGAAAACCCGAGGGAGGGCGUACCGACUUUCGUGCCGGGCCGUACCCAUAU